RNAcentral lists this long non-coding RNA (1000 nucleotides) under Podarcis muralis (Common wall lizard). Its description in RNAcentral is "lncRNA (ENSPMRG00000012461.1)". Lineage: Eukaryota; Metazoa; Chordata; Lepidosauria; Squamata; Lacertidae. The record is from RNAcentral.
UCAAAACAGAAAAAUGGUUAUGGUUAAGUAAGCAUGAGCAUUCCUCAUUCCAUGUUGGCGUUCAUUCAUGUUUUUAACUAGUACAGUGGUACCUCAAGUUACAAAUGCCUCAGGUUACAAACACUUCAGGUUACAAACUACACUAACUGUCAGGGGUUCAGGGAGAGAGGCACAGAUGAGAGAGGAGACUGAGAGCGAGGGGGAAGAAUCCCGGAACGAGGAGGAGGAGGAUGACAAUGACUUGAGGGUUUCCAUGAGUCUUUCAAGUGAAUCGGAGGAUUCCCAAAAGGGGGCGCCCGUGGUCAGGCCAAGGGGAGUUACAGGGGGGACUUGUCAGGAGCAGGGGAGCAGCAGGGGAACCCCGAGUGGGAGUUGGAGAUCGGGGCCGGCUUCCCCGCCGGAACGGAGUGAAGAGGGUGGAGUUCCCAGUGUGACAGACGAAGCAGAGCAGGAAGCAGAGAGGGGAAGGAGAUCGGGGCAAGACGUCCUGCCGGAAGGGGCGGAGAGUAGUACAGAGAGUAGUGUAACUGUCAAGAGGAAGGUCAGAGGUAGCGAACGCACGCCAAGUUCAAAUGUGGAGGCGCGCGGAAAUGCGGAGAGCCCGGAGGAGGAGCCUGGUCCCAAAGCACGGAGGAGGGGGGAGCAGGCGUCUGGGGACUCAGCGUCAGGGGAAUCCAGGAGGGGAGGAACCCAGGGGGGCAGAAAGACCCUGCGGAAAAGGAAGGACAGGAAGAGGUGGACCAGCACAAGCCUCUUAAACUGGUGUAGAGGCGGGACUGAUUCAGAGGGGACUUCAGCGGUCUAAGCGUAACAGACGUGGGGCUGCGCGCCUCGGCUGUGGAGCAAACAAUGUACUUCAAUAAAGACUUUUGUAAAUAAAGUGGACUUGGCAUUGGUCUCUUGUGAGCUGGGACCUGAGGCGGCCCUGACACUAACCUAGAAGAGUUGAGAACUUUCCCCCAGGAUGGAAAUGGAAAUUGUGUGCAGCGGCAGCAAGAGG